GGUGGUUCUCGGGUGACGCACCCCAGAAUCGGGAUCCCUCUCUCGUUCCGCGUGCGUCACCCGAGAACCACA
Myotis lucifugus (little brown bat) is the source of this 72-nucleotide non-coding RNA. The record is from Rfam. NCBI's taxonomy places the organism in Eukaryota, Metazoa, Chordata, Mammalia, Chiroptera, Vespertilionidae.